Molecule: long non-coding RNA, 1000 nt
Organism: Synchiropus splendidus (mandarinfish)
Lineage: Eukaryota; Metazoa; Chordata; Actinopteri; Syngnathiformes; Callionymidae
Exons: 3
Source: RefSeq, a predicted model, not a curated record
CUUUGUCCUCGCUGCCCUCACAAAUGUCCUUACUCUCCUCGAACCCUGCUCCGGCGACGACGGCAGGAUGGAGGCUCAGCGGCGCCGCCAUGGAUCGGGACUCCAGGAUGUACGCGGACGUGUCCCGGUGGUGCUGCCCGCCGAGUUUGUGCUGUAUCUCCGCACCGAGUACCACCAGUGGUCCAUGAGUCAAGUGCAUCUGGCUACUUUUUUCCUGGCCGCUCCUCACAGUGAGGAGGCUGCGAGUCCAUCGCUCACUGAGUGAGCUGCUGUUCUGGCAUGGUUCCACAAGAGGGAGCUGUUAUGCGUUAAUUCCUGCCGUCACACAGGAAGCUUUCCAAGCGACACGGCUAGCAUUCAUCGGCUAAUCAAGUCUUCAUGGAUAUCAACACCUCGGUGCCAGCUCGUGUCACCAGAUGGUUACUUCGCGUGCCUAUGGUAAACUCUCCCAAGACUCCACUCUCAGCCCUUGUGUGUAUUUCCCGGUCCGUGUUCUGGUGUCGGCAUCCUUGGUUCAUCGUAUCUGUUCGUCUGCGUAUAACUUCAUCGUUGUUUAUUAAAUUUUUAAGUUAACCUUGUCUCCCAGCCUUCAGUCAGCCAGCACACAUUGCUCCUGGGUCUGAUCACAUCGACAGCCGUGCCAAGGACAAGGGAACAAGUGAUACUACGAUGGAAGAUAGGACGAUAUCACUUUGCCAUUUGAAGAUUGUGUUGGGGCAGAAUGAAGCUGCUUCUCCUGUCUUUAUACAGUACAUAAUGUCUUAUAAUGUCCACGUCAGUUUUCAAAUUUCAUUACUCUUAUUAUGUAUAUACAAAUAUACAUCAAAACCCUGUAUGCUCAAAGGUAAUAAAACACUCGUGUUACCUCGUCUAGUGUGUCUCAGGAUGCACACAUAUAAAUGCAGAGGUUUGCGUAGGCACCAUGAAGGAAAAGGGAGUAAUGACAAACAGACAGCUGACAAUGGUCGACGACAUGUCUCUUCAUCAUGAUGUUUUUUCA